AGGAGGAAGAUGGAAAGUGCGGACUGUCGCUGGCUUAUCUGCAUGUGCACGUCUUUGUUUUCUGUCAACCUUUCUCUCACACACACACACCUGUGAACCUAUUGUAGGUCCUCGAAAGAGGAUCUAUGUUUUUCCACAUCACACCUAUCGUAUGUCUAUAGAAUGUAUCAAAGACCGUCGACCAGGCUUGACCCUGGUUGGCUGGUCAAUAAACUAUACAACUUUCAGCAACGGAUCUCUUGGCUCUCGCAUCGAUGAAGAACGCAGCGAAUUGCGAUAAGUAAUGUGAAUUGCAGAUUUCCAGUGAAUCAUCGAAUCUUUGAACGCACCUUGCGCUCCUUGGUAUUCCGAGGAGCAUGCCUGUUUGAGUGUCAUUGAAUUCUCAACCAUGUCUUGAUUGAUUUCAAGCGCAUGGCUUGGAGUUGGGGGUUGCUGGCGGCGAAAGGCUGUCGGCUCUCCUGAAAUGCAUUAGCAAAGGGUGGCUAGUCUUUGACAUGCACGGCCUUCGACGUGAUAAUGAUCGUCGUGGCUGGAGUGUCUUAGACCAUGCAUGAAUGGCCCUUGCUUCUAAUUUAGAUGUAGAUGCCUCGCCUUGGAGCUGAGCUGUUAGCUACUAGUCGGUCGUAAGGCUGGCGAACGUGCAGCAAUGUGUCUGGGCUUGUGUAUUCGCUCACUUUCGAAACUUGACCUCAAAUCAGGUAGGACUACCCGCUGAACUUAAGCAUAUCAAUAAGCGGAGGAAAAGAAACUAACAAGGAUUCCCCUAGUAACUGCGAGUGAAGCGGGAUGAGCUCAAAUUU
RNAcentral lists this ribosomal RNA (800 nucleotides) under Boletus sp. MHM075. RNAcentral describes it as "eukaryotic LSU rRNA". The stretch from base 220 to 374 matches the Rfam family "5.8S ribosomal RNA". Lineage: Eukaryota; Fungi; Basidiomycota; Agaricomycetes; Boletales; Boletaceae. The record is from RNAcentral.